RNAcentral lists this ribosomal RNA (690 nucleotides) under Salinicola sp. RNAcentral describes it as "bacterial SSU rRNA". It matches the Rfam family "Bacterial small subunit ribosomal RNA", at positions 591 to 1280 of the family's 1533-position model. The record is from RNAcentral. Lineage: Bacteria; Pseudomonadati; Pseudomonadota; Gammaproteobacteria; Oceanospirillales; Halomonadaceae.
GUUGUGAAAGCCCCGGGNUCAACCUGGGAACGGCAUCCGGAACGGCCAGGCUAGAGUGCAGGAGAGGAAGGUAGAAUUCCCGGUGUAGCGGUGAAAUGCGUAGAGAUCGGGAGGAAUACCAGUGGCGAAGGCGGCCUUCUGGCCUGACACUGACACUGAGGUGCGAAAGCGUGGGUAGCAAACAGGAUUAGAUACCCUGGUAGUCCACGCCGUAAACGAUGUCGACUAGCCGUUGGGACCUUUAAGGACUUAGUGGCGCAGUUAACGCGAUAAGUCGACCGCCUGGGGAGUACGGCCGCAAGGUUAAAACUCAAAUGAAUUGACGGGGGCCCGCACAAGCGGUGGAGCAUGUGGUUUAAUUCGAUGCAACGCGAAGAACCUUACCUACCCUUGACAUCCAGAGAAGUUGGCAGAGAUGCCUUCGUGCCUUCGGGAGCUCUGAGACAGGUGCUGCAUGGCUGUCGUCAGCUCGUGUUGUGAAAUGUUGGGUUAAGUCCCGUAACGAGCGCAACCCUUGUCCUUAUUUGCCAGCGAGUCAUGUCGGGAACUCUAAGGAGACUGCCGGUGACAAACCGGAGGAAGGUGGGGACGACGUCNAGUCAUCAUGGCCCUUACGGGUAGGGCUACACACGUGCUACAAUGGCCGGUACAAAGGGCUGCGAGAUCGCGAGAUGGAGCGAAUCCCAGAAA